UACGGGGGGAGCAAGCGUUGUUCGGAAUCACUGGGCGUAAAGGGAGUCUAGGCGGUUUGGUAAGUGGGAUGUGAAAUCCCCGGGCUCACCCCGGGACCUGCAUCCCAAACUACUGGGCUUGAAUACUGGAGAGGAUCGCGGAAUUCCCGGUGUAGAGGUGAAAUUCGUAGAUAUCGGGAGGAACACCAGUGGCGAAGGCGGCGAUCUGGACAGAUAUUGACGCUGAGGUGCGAAAGCGUGGGGAGCAAACAGG
This 253-nucleotide ribosomal RNA is filed under the name uncultured bacterium. Its description in RNAcentral is "partial 16S ribosomal RNA". It matches the Rfam family "Bacterial small subunit ribosomal RNA", at positions 524 to 776 of the family's 1533-position model. The record is from RNAcentral.